Molecule: ribosomal RNA, 301 nt
Filed under: uncultured bacterium
Lineage: Bacteria
Description: partial 16S ribosomal RNA
Rfam family: Bacterial small subunit ribosomal RNA
Source: RNAcentral
CAGUCGCCGCGGUAAAACGAAGGGGGCUAGCGUUGUUCGGAAUUACUGGGCGUAAAGGGCGCGUAGGCGGCCAUUCAAGUUAGAUGUGAAAGCCCUGGGCUCAACCUAGGAAUUGCAUUUGAUACUGUUUGGCUUGAGUUCGGGAGAGGUGAGUGGAAUUCCCAGUGUAGAGGUGAAAUUCGUAGAUAUUGGGAAGAACACCAGUGGCGAAGGCGGCUCACUGGACCGACACUGACGCUGAGGCGCGAAAGCGUGGGGAGCAAACAGGAUUAGAUACCCCUGUAGUCCCUGUCUCUUAUAC